RNAcentral lists this ribosomal RNA (497 nucleotides) under uncultured bacterium. RNAcentral's name for it is "partial 16S ribosomal RNA". It matches the Rfam family "Bacterial small subunit ribosomal RNA", at positions 28 to 507 of the family's 1533-position model. The record is from RNAcentral.
GAUGAACGCUGGCGGCGUGCCUAAUACAUGCAAGUCGAGCGAACGGACGAGAAGCUUGCUUCUCUGAUGUUAGCGGCGGACGGGUGAGUAACACGUGGAUAACCUACCUAUAAGACUGGGAUAACUUCGGGAAACCGGAGCUAAUACCGGAUAAUAUUUUGAACCGCAUGGUUCAAAAGUAAAAGACGGUCUUGCUGUCACUUAUAGAUGGAUCCGCGCUGCAUUAGCUAGUUGGUAAGGUAACGGCUUACCAAGGCAACGAUGCAUAGCCGACCUGAGAGGGUGAUCGGCCACACUGGAACUGAGACACGGUCCAGACUCCUACGGGAGGCAGCAGUGGGGAAUCUUCCGCAAUGGGCGAAAGCCUGACGGAGCAACGCCGCGUGAGUGAUGAAGGUCUUCGGAUCGUAAAACUCUGUUAUUAGGGAAGAACAUAUGUGUAAGUAACUGUGCACAUCUUGACGGUACCUAAUCAGAAAGCCACGGCUAACUACGUG